This 491-nucleotide ribosomal RNA is filed under the name uncultured bacterium. RNAcentral describes it as "partial 16S ribosomal RNA". It matches the Rfam family "Bacterial small subunit ribosomal RNA", at positions 29 to 507 of the family's 1533-position model. The record is from RNAcentral.
GUGAACGCUGGCGGUAGGCCUAACCCAUGCCAGUCGAACGGCAGCACAGUAAGAGCUUGCUCUUACGGGUGGCGAGUGGCGGACGGGUGAGGAAUACAUCGGAAUCUACUUUUUCGUGGGGGAUAACGUAGGGAAACUUACGCUAAUACCGCAUACGACCUACGGGUGAAAGCAGGGGAUCUUCGGACCUUGCGCGAUUGAAUGAGCCGAUGUCGGAUUAGCUAGUUGGCGGGGUAAAGGCCCACCAAGGCGACGAUCCGUAGCUGGUCUGAGAGGAUGAUCAGCCACACUGGAACUGAGACACGGUCCAGACUCCUACGGGGGGCAGCAGUGGGGAAUAUUGGACAAAGGGCGCAAGCCUGAUCCAGCCAUACCGCGUGGGUGAAGAAGGCCUUCGGGUUGUAAAGCCCUUUUGUUGGGAAAGAAAAGCAGCAGGUUAAUACCCCGCUGUUCUGACGGUACCCAAAGAAUAAGCACCGGCUAACUUCGUG